GCGGGUCUCGUUGUUAUCACGCUGACUCUCCAAUGCGAGCUAAUAAACGCAACGCUUGUCACAUAUCGAGGUUCAAUUUCCAGCUUCUAACCGAACAUAACAGUGUUAUAACGCAUAAUUGCCUAGCACUAUAACUUAAGUAAAGUAUUCCGGCUUUCUCGAGGAAACUCUUCCAGCGUCAACGUCGUCGUCGUCGUCGUCGUAGUUGUUAUAACUGCCAGAACACCAUUCGCGGACGGUCAUCAAUGGACGAUUACACCAUAGUAAGUAGCCAUCCAAGGAUAACCAGUUUUUCACUGUCUAGUGACGGCUACAUGCACACAGUAAGAGAACGAAAAAGAUGCCGGAAGAAGAUGCGAAAAGGUGGAAAUCGUGCGACCCGCGGAAUGAAGGAGUUAACAAGAGCGCACCGGACAGCAUGACAGUAGCGUGUCAUGAUGAACUAGCUACAGAUCAGUGAUGUAGCAGGACAAUUCUAAACAAUGUGUGCCAGAUCCGUGCUCCUUCCGUGGUGAGCGUUCUCUCAUCCACCCAAUGGUACGGAAGCCGGGAUAAUCCCCGGAUAAGUGGAACCCCUCGCUCGCAGUAAUGGUUGUGCUCAAACAAAGAAAACACGGAGACUCUCGCCGCAGGACGAAUCAGGAGAAUUCUUUCUUGCAGGAGGGCUUACAGCACAGCUGUCACAGCAGUGACAUACAUAUUAUCUCGUCGCUCAUAAUUUCGACGUACGUCUGAUUUAGAGUGUUUACACUGCUGUUAUUUCGACUUAUGAACAGUGAAUUUGAACAUAAAUAAAAAGCGCAAUGAAUGCAACGAAUGUUGAAUUAAUUCUUAUUAGGCUAUAAGUACCUACACCCUCUGUAUCCUCAAAGUAUAGGUGUAGAUAACCAACGAUAACUUGCAUAAAUACGUGGUUUUAUUGGUUUAAAAGAUUUACUUCAUCAAGUUCCAACUUGAACCGCAAGGCGUAUUCUUUGUUACCAAUGCAGUUGCUUCAAAUUAUUCUCUUUUUUUGUCUAUAUUUGAUAAUGAUAUGUUGAUCACACACUAGUACGUGUGCGUGCUUGUACUCAACCAGUAUCUAGUUCAACGAACCUGCUCGCGUUUACUGCACGGCAUUUUCGUAUACGCGAUGAUAUUCAUACGUGCGUGCGUAGUAAUAAUAUUGUUUACGAGUAUUAUGAAUCCAUUGAUUAGAGGCGUAUAUAUACUGAUGUUUUGUUGUAAUAUUUAUUGUUGCAAGCUAUCGCCACACUUCCGCGAUGUUGUUGGAUAUUACGCUAGUAUUUUACAGUGUGAAACAUUCAAGAUGAAUAGCAUCCAAAGCGAAAAGCAUAUAUAACCACAAAUUACAAUCCUAAACAGGCAGCGGUUGUGCGAAUAGAGCUUUAUGUCUCAAAACACAUUUAGACCGGUGAAAUACGCUGAAAUAUAUACCAUGUAAAACCAAUGAAGUUUGAGAGGUUCUAGCGAUAAGCUGCGGUGCUGUUUUUGGUUGCUGUAUGUUGGCUAUUUCUGUGCUUCAUAUGUUUUCAUUCCCUCAUGAUGUAUGUGACACCCGACCUUCGCUUGCUCUGUUUCCAUCCGACACAUGUGAAAAUUGCAUUAGAUCCUGUUUGGUUAGCAACCUCCAUGAUUAUCGUCAUGUUGGUCGUGGGUUCGAAUCCCGCAAGGACUCAGUAAUUUUUCUGUGUGUCUACGGAGUUUGGAAGGAGGAUGAAGAACUCUGCAGUAAGUUGUUUUUCUUGAUAGCCGAGCGCAUGAGGAAACCCCUAAAAUAGUUACGGAAUUAUUGUAUAUGAAAAAUAGAGCAUGAAGUGUUGCUAAUUUUAUCCAGAGGAUAUGCGAUACUAGUACGCGUAGUGAGACGUUAUAGUAAAGUGUGCUGAGAGUGUUUUACAUCGGAGCUGGCAUGCGAAUACACAUUCGAGAAUACACAUGUAUGCAUGUUACAGUAGUUGUAUUGCUGCUUCAAUAACUGCUGCAGCGUCACGAUUGUACUGAAGAUGAGCUACACCGUGAUGGUGCCUGAUGUGAUGCUUGUAAUAAUGGAAUUGUUAUGGCGCGAUAUUAGGUGGGGGAGGGGCCUUAUUGCCGAGAAAAGCUUCGUGUGCAUUAUUUGGAUCGAUCUAUGCACUUCAUAUGAAAAUCAGCACGCUGAACUCAUAUAGCCUGUAAGCGCACACACAAUAAAUAAUGGGUCGAGAUAAAUAUUCACGAAACUGUCUGAUAUUUAGUGAACAUUUGAUGCAUAAACUUUAUCCGCCGUGGUUAAAUGUUUAAUUAACUGAGUGUAAUGAAUAAAUUAGAUAUUUUUCGUAGAUCGCACCGAAUAACAAUACAAUAUACUAGCAAUAAAU
Priapulus caudatus is the source of this 2360-nucleotide long non-coding RNA. RefSeq lists it as uncharacterized. The record is from RefSeq and is a predicted model, not a curated record. The transcript is spliced from 3 exons. NCBI's taxonomy places the organism in Eukaryota, Metazoa, Priapulida, Priapulimorpha, Priapulimorphida, Priapulidae.